This 2290-nucleotide long non-coding RNA is filed under the name Gallus gallus (chicken). RNAcentral's name for it is "lncRNA (ENSGALG00010006908.1)". The record is from RNAcentral. Lineage: Eukaryota; Metazoa; Chordata; Aves; Galliformes; Phasianidae.
GAGUCUGCUGACAUCCACACUGCCAGAGGAAAGCCACCCUUGCCCUGGCAGUUUGGUAAAUCUGCCCUAGGACCUGGCUGUAAAAUUGAAGCAUUUCUUCCUGAAGCACCAAAGCAAAAAAUCGAAAAGAAGCCAGGAAGCUCAGCACAGAGCGCAUCAGACUGGAACCGUUCAUCCAAUGGAGGCUGCCCUCCUUUCUGGAGAUGUGGGGGCAAAUCUGCAUUUGUCAGAUGCAAACUGGAUUUCCUGCUCUCCACUUCACACACGUACUUCCAAAAGCCUCAUUUUCCAACAAAUUUACUGCUAUCUGGAACCAUCCCAGCUCUUCCUUUGCUGCUUCUGCCCCGAUGAGAUUUACCCAGUGGAAAGGCAUAGCCUGUUGUCCUCAAGGCACAGUGGCAGCAGACCUGUAACGACAGGAGUGUGAUAAAUAGAGAAUAAUGUGUCCUGCUAGACAGAAUAAUAAGAUUACAUCCGAGCUGCCAUAUCAUAUCAAUUAAACCCUCGGCCCUUUUAGUCCAGCAAAUCCAUGCUGCCGCAGCAAUUGGUACUCUGGGGAGAAGGAGGAGAACAGGACUGACACAUCCUGCCUAAAAUAACCCUGGCUUUCCCAGUGCUGUCUGCUCAGGCAGCAGGCAAGGCUUCCAGGUGCACCAUGGCUCUGAGCACUGCCAGCCGUGGGGUUCUUACCCCCAAAUGAGAGAGGUAGGGUGGGGUACCCCGUGCCGGCUGCCUUGCAGGUCACAGAGUUGCAGGAGCCAUAUGUACCUGCAGGGUGGGAGGCACUACCUUCUGCCUGGACUGCCUGGCUCUGCUGAUGGCAAUGUUCAUUUGUCCCAGGUGACAGCAGCAUCCUGAGCACUCUUUUUCUGACAACAUAAAGUGCACAUCAUGGGCUUGCCUGGCCCACUCUCCUCUGUGAUACAGCUCUUUCCUGUGGAAGAUGUAGCAUCUCCCUUGGGCAAACCUGGCAUUUGAAGAGGUAACAGGCAGAGCAAAGUACUCAACAGAAAAUGUCUCAAUCCCUCAGUCUGCUGCAACACUGUAUGAGGCCAUCAUAUACUCAGAAGUGUGUUUUCGUAGAGCAUCUGUUGGUUUAAUUAGAUGUAUCUUGGCUAUUCAUUCAGUUGGUUAAGCAAUGGUUUUCAGACUGUUGUCAUGAACUAACCAUAUAUAUUCUCUGAGAAAGGGCUUAAAUACAGCCAACUGAAUUUUAUUUAUUUAUUUUAAUAUGGGCAGUAAAAACUUCUGAGAGAUCAGGAAUGAUUGUUUUCCACCUGAUCUGGGCUGGAUGAGCAUGGCUGAACUGCACUGUCUGUUCCCCAGGUAUUUCCCUGGGAACAGGAUGGGACAUAAAUCCUUCCUGCUCUUUUCCCAGCUGCUUUCGACACAUCUCUUACCUAGAAAGGUUGAACAGAUUGUUCCAAAGGCAUAAAAGCCAAGAAAUGCCUGGUUGCUUAUCAAUUUCAGGAGUUUUACUCCUGAACUUGCUGAUAUCUAAGAAGAUUCGAUCUCCAGGUGAUUUUUUACUUGGGAUUCAAGGCUUCUUGGUGCCUCUUUUCCAUGUGAGACCACUGGUGACUCUAGGGUAAGGUGCUGCACCAAACCUCUCUGCAAAAUGACACAUACCUGCUGUCAGAUCCCCACCAGAUGGAGGGCCUGGGAAGAAGAAGGCAAAAGAAAAAAAUUGCUGUACAACAGAGCUAGUCAAAGCCUCCGGGAAAUGUGGUGGAGUGUCUAUGGACACUUUGAAUGAGUCUGUUGCCUCUGUCAUGCCCAGGCUUCCUGCACUGUGGUAUGCCAUUCAUUUUCUGUGCUUUUCCCAUUAGUGUGGGCACCUGGGACAGGCUUCUUUGCUGUGAUCAUCAGUGCACUGGCCAACAAGGUCCCCUUCUGGCCCGCUUUUUAGGUAGAAGGGAGGUAGAAGAGCAGAAAGCAGAGGAGAGUGAGGAGUGUGCAGAGAAUUAAGCAGCCAAGGAAGGGUUGACGUGUAAAAUAUUUGGAAGUGACCUGCAGCAAAGGGCAAGAGAAAAAAAGAUAAAGGGACUCAGAGAGAGCUCCAAGAGGAGACUGAAGAUGAAAAGAUCAGCUCUUCUGAAGGCAGACAAGCAUUCUGGUCAUGUACAGCACCAUUUCUCAGGUGGGGUAGCUGGCGCCAGGGACGAAACUCUCAUUCCUGCUGCAAGGUGUAAGGUGGCAAAGGUUACAGCUACGUAGCAAAGGUGCAGGGAUGUCACUGAUUUCUAAGCCAAGGUUUUUUCUAACUGAAAUGGCAGUAUUACUUUCAAAA